RNAcentral lists this microRNA precursor (78 nucleotides) under Schistosoma curassoni. Its description in RNAcentral is "mir-3492 microRNA precursor family". It matches the Rfam family "mir-3492 microRNA precursor family". Lineage: Eukaryota; Metazoa; Platyhelminthes; Trematoda; Strigeidida; Schistosomatidae. The record is from Rfam by way of RNAcentral.
AGCCUUCUAUAUCCGUGCUGAGAUUUCGUCACACACUAGACCAUAAUGGCUGGUCAGAAUCCCAAGAUAAGUAAAGCG